Molecule: ribosomal RNA, 568 nt
Filed under: uncultured Actinomycetes bacterium
Lineage: Bacteria; Bacillati; Actinomycetota; Actinomycetes
Description: bacterial SSU rRNA
Rfam family: Bacterial small subunit ribosomal RNA
Source: RNAcentral
CCUACGGGAGGCAGCAGUAGGGAAUUUUGGACAAUGGGCGAAAGCCUGAUGCAGCAACGCCGCGUGAGGGAUGAAGGCCUUCGGGUUGUAAACCUCUUUUAGCAGGGAAGAAGCGAAAGUGACGGUACCUGCAGAAAAAGCACCGGCUAACUACGUGCCAGCAGCCGCGGUAAUACGUAGGGUGCAAGCGUUGUCCGGAAUUAUUGGGCGUAAAGAGCUCGUAGGCGGUUUGUCACGUCUGCUGUGAAAAUCCAAGGCUCAACCUUGGACUUGCAGUGGGUACGGGCAGGCUAGAGUGCGGUAGGGGAGAUGGGAAUUCCUGGUGUAGCGGUGGAAUGCGCAGAUAUCAGGAGGAACACCAAUGGCGAAGGCACAUCUCUGGGCCGUAACUGACGCUGAGGAGCGAAAGCGUGGGGAGCAAACAGGAUUAGAUACCCUGGUAGUCCACGCCGUAAACGGUGGGUGCUAGCUGUGGGCCACAUUCCACGUGGUCCGUAACGAAGUUAACACAUUAAGCACCCCGCCUGGGGAGUACGGCCGCAAGGCUAAAACUCAAAGGAAUUGACGG